ACACUCAGGACUGAACAGACUGCACAGUUUCUGUGACUGAGCCUCCAAAACACCUUCUUUGAAACCACUCAUGAUAGAAGGGCUUCAUAUUUGCAGCAGCACUACUACAGUUGGCAGGAAUGUUGCUGCAGGAAAACAUCCCUGGAGAUCACCAUCAUUGUCAGACUGACUGUGCCUCCUCUGUGCAGUGUCAAGAUCCUCCCUAAAUGAGUGUUCCUCAGCUAUCCUGCUUCUGUGCUGCUUGCCACACAUCAAACACUGGCCGGAUGACAGGGAGGAUCCACUCUGAAGUCACUGGACAUGAUGAGGAUCAUAUGGGACUUCAUAGUUUCACAGAAACAUUGUGGUCUGUGAUUACAGGUUUUAAAUGGACAUAAUGACUGCCUCUCUCUGAUCAACAGGCUAAAGGAUUGUUGUCAUUGUUAGUGCUCUGUACAAUGUAUGCUUAUUUAGUAUUUCAUCACAGAGCAAACCUUUUUUUCUUUAACAUAUUUUUAUUUUUUUAUUUGUGGGGAUAGGUUAAUUGAUUAA
Molecule: RNA transcript, 531 nt
Organism: Maylandia zebra (zebra mbuna)
Lineage: Eukaryota; Metazoa; Chordata; Actinopteri; Cichliformes; Cichlidae
Source: RefSeq, a predicted model, not a curated record